GCACGACCCACCAAUUUAACAUCAAACUCAGAUGUUGAACGUGAAGGAUAACGUUGCGUCAGCAACGGCCCGUAGGGCGAGGCGAAGCCGAGUCAUCCUGCACGACCCACCA
Molecule: small RNA, 112 nt
Filed under: Salmonella enterica
Lineage: Bacteria; Pseudomonadati; Pseudomonadota; Gammaproteobacteria; Enterobacterales; Enterobacteriaceae
Also listed under: 3 other names
Description: partial RtT sRNA
Rfam family: RtT RNA
About the family: This family represents a bacterial cis-regulatory element known as RtT RNA. The exact function of RtT is unknown although it is thought that it may be involved in changing the cellular response in relation to amino acid starvation.
Source: RNAcentral